This 76-nucleotide transfer RNA is filed under the name Clostridium sp. Its description in RNAcentral is "tRNA-Asp". It matches the Rfam family "tRNA". Rfam says of the family: Transfer RNA (tRNA) molecules are approximately 80 nucleotides in length. RNAcentral also lists the same sequence under 4 other names. Lineage: Bacteria; Bacillati; Bacillota; Clostridia; Eubacteriales; Clostridiaceae. The record is from RNAcentral.
GGUUCCGUGGUGUAGUGGUUAUCACACUCGCCUGUCACGCGAGGGAUCGCGGGUUCAAGUCCCGUCGGAACCGCCA